Molecule: ribosomal RNA, 528 nt
Filed under: uncultured Entrophosporaceae
Lineage: Eukaryota; Fungi; Glomeromycota; Glomeromycetes; Entrophosporales; Entrophosporaceae
Description: SSU rRNA
Rfam family: Eukaryotic small subunit ribosomal RNA
Source: RNAcentral
AGCAGCCGCGGUAAUUCCAGCUCCAAUAGCGUAUAUUAAAGUUGUUGCAGUUAAAAAGCUCGUAGUUGAAUUUCGGGAUUGACGUGACGGUCGUGCCUUAAGGGGUAUGAACUGUUGCAGUCAAUUUCUCACCUUCUGGAGAAAUAUGAUGUCCUUAAUUGGGUGUCAUAUGAAACCAGAACUUUUACCUUGAAAAAAUUAGAGUGUUUAAAGCAAGCUUAUUGCUCGAAUACAUUAGCAUGGAAUAAUAAAAUAGGACGGCAUGAUUCUAUUUUGUUGGUUUCUAGGAUCACCGUAAUGAUUAAUAGGGAUAGUUGGGGGCAUUAGUAUUCAAUUGUCAGAGGUGAAAUUCUUGGAUUUAUUGAAGACUAACUACUGCGAAAGCAUUUGCCAAGGAUGUUUUCAUUAAUCAAGAACGAAAGUUAGGGGAUCGAAGACGAUCAGAUACCGUCGUAGUCUUAACCAUAAACUAUGCCGACUAGGAAUCAGACGAUGUUAAUUUUUUAAUGACUCGUUUGGCACCUUACG